AUGGCUGCUAAAUGUCUCCCCUGGAACUUGGAAGGGACAGCUGACUGUGUCCUCACUUUGCCUGUUGCCCCAGCUCUAUCCCUGCUCUGGGUCCCGGAUGAGACAAACCCCGCCCCUUCUGUAGACGGCUGUGUCUGGUCCCAGCUUGUGGAAGAGCUGCGAUGUACAGAGAAGGCAGAGAGAGCCCUCAUUAUACGUGUACCUGCUCGUUGGACAGAGGUCGUGAGCACGCAGUCAAUGGCGGUGUGUGUCUUGAGGCCUUUGGCUGGGGUGUGUGGAAACAGCAUUGCUGAAGAGAAGGAUUCUUUGUGAAGAUCUGGAAGCAUCUCCCCGGGUGACGGCUGUGUUCAUGGAUCGCUACAUGUUAACCGCGUGGGCACCUCGAGUCAUUUUAAAUACGUAAAGGGGUCUUCUAGAACAGUAAAUUCUAGGAAAAACCUUUUUCUAGAGAGAACUCCAUUUUAAGGUAGACAGUGAUUCUUUCUCUGUUGUGAUUCAGAGGUUGACAGAUUGACACCAGAGAUUCUUCCUGCAGGAUGGACUGUACUAGAGAUGCUAAGGGAACAUGGGGGAAAUGCAGUGGGCCAGGGCUCAUGGAUGCCGUGAGUUUGGAGAAGGCAGUGAUGGGCACCGGGAAAGGUGGUCAUUUGAAGAGAGCAAGUGUGUCUGAGUGCAAGCAGGCUGCUUUAGAGGCCUCCAGUGGGUAUGGGGACCCACAGGAGUCAGAGCUGGAAGUAGAAGGAGGAGACAGCUGGGGGAAGUCGUAGGUGCUAAUCCUUGGUAUGGAAGUGUGAUUCAUCAGAAGUGGAGAGUCCUGGGGGAUGUUAGGGGAAGAGUGGAGCUUAAUGAACCAACACAUAUUUAUCGAGUAUCUGCUGAUUGUCGCCACACUGAAUGCUGACACUCCUUAUGUGGAAGCAUAUGAGAUACCACCUCAAGAAC
This 942-nucleotide long non-coding RNA is filed under the name Mustela putorius furo (domestic ferret). RNAcentral's name for it is "lncRNA (ENSMPUG00000032110.1)". The record is from RNAcentral. Lineage: Eukaryota; Metazoa; Chordata; Mammalia; Carnivora; Mustelidae.